This 104-nucleotide small nuclear RNA is filed under the name Myotis davidii. The record is from RNAcentral. Lineage: Eukaryota; Metazoa; Chordata; Mammalia; Chiroptera; Vespertilionidae.
GUGUUCGCUUCAGCAGCACGUAUACUAACAAUGGAGGAAUAAGAGGACUAGCAGGGCCCCUGUGCAAGGAUGACACGCAAGUGCGUGAAGCGGUCCAAACUUAA